Fukomys damarensis (Damara mole-rat) is the source of this 1881-nucleotide long non-coding RNA. RefSeq lists it as uncharacterized. The record is from RefSeq and is a predicted model, not a curated record. The transcript is spliced from 6 exons. Lineage: Eukaryota; Metazoa; Chordata; Mammalia; Rodentia; Bathyergidae.
AUGAACCCACCAGAAACAGGACAGGACAGCCACAUGUCAGCUCUAGGGCUGGGAGACACCACAAGCUGAGCUACAGACCCAGCCCUUUUGAAAUUUUGAGAAAGGGUCUUGCUAAAUUGCCCAGGCAGGGCUCAUACUCAUGAUCCUCCUGCUUCAGCCUCCCAGAGUGGUUGGGAUUACAGGCAUGCAUCGCCAUGGCCAGCUUAGCAGGAUUUUUUAAUGGAUGCACUUCCUAACAAACUCUGUGAUCAAUUAUACAGGAAGGCAAGGGAGGACACCUUGUAAGGUAAUAUGCAGACGCUCUCUGCUAAACAUUCAUCCUGUGGAAAGAACCAUAGUGGCACAGAUGGCUCCCACCUAAGCAGCAGAAAUUGGGGCUAUGACUUCUUCCUGCACAGAGUUAUGUUUAAAGUUUUAUAAGGAAAUUAAAAUUUCACUGAGUUCUCCCGCAUGUCCAGUGCUUGAGACAAAGGGCACGAGCUAGCAACUGACGCAGGAGGAAUAACUGGCCAUGCAGAAACAGAUUUUCCUAUUAGUAAUCGAAACACACACAGACUGUGCUGGAGCAGUGGGGCUGGCAGAGCUGUAGGAAAGGUCCUAAGUUCAUCUCCUCCUGCAACAGACCGUCCUGAUGGCACCGGCCGCCACAGGGAGCAUCACAGAGCCAGCGGGAUUGAGGGAAUUUUCUGAAGGCAGUCCUCGACUCUGGUGUGGCUCCUGAAACGACCUUUAAUAAGGAGCAAAGGCCACCGCUUGGUCAUCAGAAAUAAAGCUUUCAAAUACAAAAGACAGAUCGAGGCCACCAUGAGGUAAGCAGCUUUCUCAGCCAUCUGCUCCCCGACGAUGCACUGCCUCACCCAGGCCCAACAGCCACAGGCCAACACCGAAGCCUCCAAAGCUGUGCCAACAACGCUCCCCAAUUUACCCGACCACCGUUCUUCACAUACCUUUGCGUCAUCUGCUGUGAUCCAAGCUGAGCAGUUCACUCAAGCACCUGCCGCCACGGGAGAAGCAGGUCAGUGAGCUUCAAGCAAACUGGAGUUUAAUCGGGAUGAUUUUCCCAAGGCCUGCAUGAGCUGUAACAAUCGCGCACACAGGAAACCAUCACGGAACGUUGCCGCCUGCAAAGCCAGUGGCUGGGACACUUUCUGUGACACUGCCACACCACCAUUCACAAGCCAGGCUGCCGUGCACACGGAGCACGUUCAGACGGGAGGGCAACUUGCACAACAGCAGCGUGGAGGAAGGCAGCACGUCGGGCGACAUGGCCUGGGCAGACGGUCUCCACCAGACCCUCCUGGGUCCGUCCUCAAAGGGGCCAAGAGGCCUCCGUGAUUGCUGCUACCCAACACUGCCUCCCAACUCUGGGAAGGGCACUAGUUUCCUGGGAACAAUCCAGCCCUUAGAAGUCAGCUACUUAUAAAUGAAUGCUCGAGGUAGCACUAUGCACAACAGAAGAAACGCAAAAUAACCCAAAUGCCAACAGAUGACUGCAGGAACACAAUGUGGGCUGCGCAAUGGGAUAUGAUCAGCCACCAAAACAGAAAGAGAUUCUGCUCUGUGCCACAACAUGAACGGAUCUUAAAACGUCCUGCUGAGUGAAACCAGCCAGCCACAGCAGGACGACUACUUCCGAUCCCACGUGUAUGAGAUUCCUGGUGCCAGCAAACUGACAGCACGAGGGGUGGGAGUUGCUUCUCACAGGUACAGAGGGUAAGUGGGGGAUGAGGAGCUCGUGCGUGCAGACCAUGGUGAUGCCAUACUGAACCGCGAAUGUACUUCAUGCACCCAAACUGUACACUUAGCAACGACGUCAAUGAUAAAUAUCAUUCAUAUUUCCUCACCAUGAAGUAUUUAAAUAAGCCCUCCUUUUCAUCUCAA